AGUAACACGUGGGCAAUCUGCCCUGCACUUCGGGAUAAGCCUGGGAAACUGGGUCUAAUACCGGAUAGGACCUUUAGACGCAUGUCUUUUGGUGGAAAGCUUUUGCGGUGUGGGAUGGGCCCGCGGCCUAUCAGCUUGUUGGUGGGGUGAUGGCCUACCAAGGCGACGACGGGUAGCCGGCCUGAGAGGGUGUCCGGCCACACUGGGACUGAGAUACGGCCCAGACUCCUACGGGAGGCAGCAGUGGGGAAUAUUGCACAAUGGGCGCAAGCCUGAUGCAGCGACGCCGCGUGGGGGAUGACGGCCUUCGGGUUGUAAACCUCUUUCACCAUCGACGAAGGUCCGGGUUUUCUCGGAUUGACGGUAGGUGGAGAAGAAGCACCGGCCAACUACGUGCCAGCAGCCGCGGUAAUACGUAGGGUGCGAGCGUUGUCCGGAAUUACUGGGCGUAAAGAGCUCGUAGGUGGUUUGUCGCGUUGUUCGUGAAAUCUCACGGCUUAACUGUGAGCGUGCGGGCGAUACGGGCAGACUAGAGUACUGCAGGGGAGACUGGAAUUCCUGGUGUAGCGGUGGAAUGCGCAGAUAUCAGGAGGAACACCGGUGGCGAAGGCGGGUCUCUGGGCAGUAACUGACGCUGAGGAGCGAAAGCGUGGGGAGCGAACAGGAUUAGAUACCCUGGUAGUCCACGCCGUAAACGGUGGGUACUAGGUGUGGGUUUCCUUCCUUGGGAUCCGUGCCGUAGCUAACGCAUUAAGUACCCCGCCUGGGGGAGUACGGCCGCAAGGCUAAAACUCAAAGGAAUUGACGGGGGGCCCGCACAA
Molecule: ribosomal RNA, 821 nt
Filed under: Mycobacterium sp.
Lineage: Bacteria; Bacillati; Actinomycetota; Actinomycetes; Mycobacteriales; Mycobacteriaceae
Description: bacterial SSU rRNA
Rfam family: Bacterial small subunit ribosomal RNA
Source: RNAcentral